Molecule: long non-coding RNA, 190 nt
Organism: Herpailurus yagouaroundi (jaguarundi)
Lineage: Eukaryota; Metazoa; Chordata; Mammalia; Carnivora; Felidae
Exons: 2
Source: RefSeq, a predicted model, not a curated record
ACACAAUGGAGUAUUACUCGGCAAUCAAAAAUAAUGAAAUCUUGCUAUUUGCAACUACGUGGAUGGAACUGGAGGGUAUUAUGCUAGGCGAAAUUAGUCAUAGAAAGACAAAUAUCAUAUGACUUCACUCAUAUGAGGACUUUAAGACACAAAACAGAUGAACAUAAGAGAAGGGAAGCAAAAAUAAUAU